RNAcentral lists this unclassified non-coding RNA (751 nucleotides) under Hevea brasiliensis (rubber tree). The record is from RNAcentral. Lineage: Eukaryota; Viridiplantae; Streptophyta; Magnoliopsida; Malpighiales; Euphorbiaceae.
GGUGGCUCAGACUCGGUUGUAUGCAACUGAUUUGCUGAAGAGGCGACGAAUAUAUACAACCUGAAGUAUGCUUACAAUAGCCAGUAAAAUGUACUCUCCCACUGUGUAGCCUAUAACACGCUUUCGUGUACUCUCGUUCGUACGGCGAUGUCGAGCAUCACGUGCUUUUAAGUACUUCUGCUCUGCCGUAACAGACUCCAAUGCUUCUCUCAGCUCAGCAAUUUUAACAUUAAUAGGAUUCAGAUGCUCAUCUUUCGCAAGAUCAUGCUCAUUGGGAAUAUGACCCACAUGAAUAUAGAAAGAGACAGUCUCUGGUGUUGAGUAGGGAUUGUGAAAACAGAAUUUGUACAUUCCACUUCUUGGGGCCUUAAACUCAAACUUGUCGCCAGAUGUCCCCUUCACAGUGUGAACCACGUUAUCCAAAGGGGAUGUCACGGUGAGAUCAAUUCCGGGGUGAUCAGAGCUCCAGAAGAUGUCGUGAUCAACCACCACGAAGUUCCCAGAAACGGUAUCGCCUUCGUAGAGGACAUACUCGUAGACGCAUUCAACGUCGUUCACGGUGACGGAAAGAGAAGAUAUGCGGCCAAUUAAGGUAAAUAAAAGAGCUGCCACAACGUAGAUCUGCCUUCUUUCCAUCCUUCCCUCUCUGAAUUCUUAUUUUUGUUCGAUUUCUUCUCCACCGGGCUUUCAAGAGAUCCAAAAACAGAAGCGUUGCGCAAACAGAGAAAGAAGAGUUCGUACUCGUGUCUUC